This 804-nucleotide ribosomal RNA is filed under the name Triticum aestivum (bread wheat). RNAcentral describes it as "partial small subunit ribosomal RNA". Lineage: Eukaryota; Viridiplantae; Streptophyta; Magnoliopsida; Poales; Poaceae. The record is from RNAcentral.
AUGCGGUUGAAGAGGGCGACAGCAAGGGCAGGGCCAUUGCUGCAGGCAGCUGAGGGCCGUGCACGGGCGAGUGUGGCAAGAAAGUUAUUCAGCCCGCCUACUGGGAAGGCGGCGGCUUGGCUUAGCAAUUCGUCAAACAGGUGGUGCGCGUCCUCCUGGUUUAGUGUUCCAGCGCGCACACGCUCAGUGGCAGCAGCCAAGGCGGCGACAGGAGCUCGUGGUUUUCCUGAAGAAGCCUUGAAGGAGGAGGCGGAGAUGGAGCACAGGCGGGCGGUUGGCAUUGCUGGCCGUCUCCAGCGGAUCUCGCCCUAUGGGGAGGCUGAGAGACCGUGCGUGCGUCCCCUGACGAGGCGCUCCGCGCUCGGGUGGCGUCACCUGCGACGCUCGGCGCGCGCGCGCAGCAUCCAGCCUCUCGGGGGAACCGGUCGCCGCCGCCGGCGCGGGUUGCAAUCAAUGCCGAACGCGCUCAGCAGCGGUGACGAAGAGGAGGCCCCGGCGCCCGAGCCGAAAGCACGGGAGGAACAACGCACCUCCGCUGCCCCUCCGUCGACGAGGACGGGAACGCAGGAGGCCGGACUGGUGGGUCGGGCCGCCGGCGAGCGGCUGACUGGAGAGGAGGAGGGAGGACUGGGGAGUGGGGAGAUGAAUCUAUGCCGUUGGAUCAUUCCUCAGUCUAUGCGUCAUUUCAUGAUUCAGUAUUCUUUUUUCUUCACGGACGGCAAGCUUCGUUCAAUUUUUUCCCUUCGAAAAGGAUCCAGACACGUCAAGAUAACAAAAAUUAGACAUACAGAGUCAAAAAAAUAA